AGAUUGAACGCUGGCGGCAUGCCUUACACAUGCAAGUCGAGCGGCAGCGCGGGGGCAACCCUGGCGGCGAGCGGCGGACGGGUGAGUAAUGCAUCGGAACGUGUCCUCUUGUGGGGGGAUAACCAGUCGAAAGACUGGCUAAUACCGCAUGAGCUCGUAAGAGGAAAGCAGGGGACCCGCAAGGGCCUUGCGCGAGAGGAGCGGCCGAUGCCCGAUUAGCUAGUUGGUGGGUAAAAGCCUACCAAGGCGACGAUCGGUAGCUGGUCUGAGAGGACGACCAGCCACACUGGGACUGAGACACCGGCCAGACCUCGUACGGGAGCAGCAGGUGGGUAAUUUGGACAAGUACGGGGGAAACCUGGACUCCACGCCAGUCGCCGCGUGUGGUAGAAGGACGGUCCGUUCGGGUUAGUAAAGCCGUACGUUCGGAACGGAACGAAAGUCGGCGUACGGUAGUAAGUAAC
RNAcentral lists this ribosomal RNA (464 nucleotides) under uncultured soil bacterium. RNAcentral's name for it is "bacterial SSU rRNA". It matches the Rfam family "Bacterial small subunit ribosomal RNA", at positions 26 to 494 of the family's 1533-position model. The record is from RNAcentral.